Molecule: transfer RNA, 73 nt
Filed under: Candidatus Thiodiazotropha endolucinida
Lineage: Bacteria; Pseudomonadati; Pseudomonadota; Gammaproteobacteria; Chromatiales; Sedimenticolaceae
Rfam family: tRNA
About the family: Transfer RNA (tRNA) molecules are approximately 80 nucleotides in length. Their secondary structure includes four short double-helical elements and three loops (D, anti-codon, and T loops). Further hydrogen bonds mediate the characteristic L-shaped molecular structure. tRNAs have two regions of fundamental functional importance: the anti-codon, which is responsible for specific mRNA codon recognition, and the 3' end, to which the tRNAs corresponding amino acid is attached (by aminoacyl-tRNA synthetases). tRNAs cope with the degeneracy of the genetic code in two manners: having more than one tRNA (with a specific anti-codon) for a particular amino acid; and 'wobble' base-pairing, i.e. permitting non-standard base-pairing at the 3rd anti-codon position.
Source: Rfam by way of RNAcentral
CUGGAUAUAGCUCAGUGGGUAGAGCAAUCGACUUUAACUCGAUCUGUCGGAGGUUCGACUCCUCCUAUCCCUA